UCAAAUUAAUUGGCUAACAUAAAAAUUAAUUUAAAAUAUACAAAAUGGUAAGCUUUUUUAGAAUAGUUUGCAAGAGCAUAAAUAUAAACACAAGUCUAUAAAAGUGGACUGUUGAGUAGUUUAUUGUCUCUGACAACCUAAAAACAUAAAAGCUUAAAUUAAUUGUAAACAAUGCUUAUUUGCCAUUUAGGAGACUGUUGACAAGCAAGGUCUGGUGUGGAUGUUGAAGGAAGCACUUAAUAAGCUGAAGGACACAGCAGUCAGCUAUACCAACAAAGCAGCUCUGUGUAAGUCUAUAUUGUUGGCAAUUCUGUUAUACUUUGGUUUUUUAUGAAAGUUAGUGCUUUUUCCUGUAAUUUUAUCUGAUUUACCCUCUCUCCUUUGUUUGUUUUUUCAGCUGACGACUCACCUGUGGUUAACAGGCAGGUAAAAGAGGCAGAUAGUGAGGCGGGAGUCAGUACAGAAGCUGCAGAAGCAGUAAGAUCCACCAUGGAACGUGUUCUGGCUGCAUGGGAGUCCUACAGAGACUGCCUGUAUCUAUUACAGGUCUGGCUGGGGCAGGAGAAACAAUCAGAGGCUCAAGAGGUACUAUUAAGUAUUUGUCAUUAAAACACAUGCUACAAAGUAUACAGUGACCCAAAAAGUGUUUGAACACCUAAGUAUGAAUGUCAUUUAGUUAUCUUUGUUGAGAUGUUUGGUAAUUUCAAGUCAUGAGGUGAGGGCACGAUGUUUGUAUGUGGUUGCUUUUUUUAGAAGUUAAUUUGUCAGUUGUCUUGUGAUCUCUUUCAUAAUACAGCACAAGCAUUUUUCCUCCAGCCUGAAUGAGUGGAGAUCACGUCAAGCCCAGCUGAACGAGGCGGGAAACUUUCUCAUUGAGAUGAGUGAGGCCUCCACCAGCCACUCUCUGACCGAAGAGCUCCGCAAACUGAACAUGCAGUGGGCUGACUUCAUAAAAAGGACCAAGUUUGCAGUGGCCCCUCAGCCCAUCUCUGCAGUCGCAGGUGUCCAGGCUUCCCUGAUGCAGGAAGCCAGCUGGGUGCUUAGAGAGACAGUUGAGGUGUUAUCUGGACCUCUACGUAUUUACAGAAAGAAACUCCAGGGCAUAACUAAGAAGAUGUCUGAGUUCAAGCUGAACUCUUUGUCUCCAUCUCCAGACUGCAAAGAGGAAACUCUUCAGAAAUUCAGACAAACUCUUCCAGAGGUCAGGCAAUAUUUAGGUUAAACGUAUAUUAAUUGUAGAUGUGAGAAACCAAUUUACUUGCUCUAAGUUAUUCCGUGGAACACACAAAUAUCUGUGAUAAAGAAUCUCCAUGAGUCAUUGAGUCUGUGAGUGAACAAAUCAGUCUUAUAAAUAUCCAUUUAUUUUAAAUAGGGCUGUCACAAUCAUAUAUUUACUUAACUGAAUUAUUUUUCUGAAUUAUGGCUAAAAGAAUUCACAAUAACAAUACUAUUACAACGUCUACAGAAACUUUAUGAAUAAUGUGACAAAAUUAAAUUCUGCCAAAAUUAAAUAAGGCUAUCAGUCAAAUUUAUCUUUAACUUUUAUUUUGUACUUUCACGAAAAAGGUGUGUUGGGAGACAGAGAUAGUAUUUGUAACAAUAACUUUACAAAAGUGUGCAAAAACAACUGUUGAUCGUCACUUCUUGCAGAAUGAGGGUCUUACACCCAAACCAACUUUUUUACAGAAUCCAAAAAACUCUUACACUGGGAAUCUUUAUUCUGGUAGACUGUCUCUCUUUCAUUUUUCAUCUACAAGAUUUUGUGUGUAGUAGUAGCUAAAUACUGUGCCAUUGUUUUUUUUUUUUGUUUUUUUUUUUCAUUUUAUGACAGGAGGCAAACAGAUUUAAGGUUCAGUACUGCCAUCUAUGUUGGAGUGUCUACCAACGCUCUAAACACUCUCUGUCUCUAAUGAAAAUAAUUGAUUUAACUAGGUACUGAACAAAUCUGUGGACAUGUUUCUUGGCAGACACUUGAGACUUUGACCAAGGUGGAUCAGGUGUGUGAGAGACUCCAGAAAUCUGCAUCUCUGCUUGAGGGCAGGCUGGCUGAGCUUGAAAACUGGUGCAAUGAAGUCCAAGAGGUCUGCCACCACCUAAAAGAAAAGCAGCAGAGGGGCCACCGGGGGCCACAUCCCAGUGCUAAAGUGAGCACAAUUAACUAAGUUACUGAGUUCAUUUGGUUGAUUAAAACAGCGCUUUUACAUUGUUGUCUCUUCCGAUUC
Molecule: long non-coding RNA, 2222 nt
Organism: Cyprinus carpio (common carp)
Lineage: Eukaryota; Metazoa; Chordata; Actinopteri; Cypriniformes; Cyprinidae
Source: Ensembl